GACGAACGCUGGCGGCGUGCUUAACACAUGCAAGUCGAACGGUGACGAAUGGAGCUUGCUCUGUUCUGAUCAGUGGCGAACGGGUGAGUAACACGUGAGUAACCUGCCCCUGACUCUGGAAUAACUUCGGGAAACCGAAGCUAAUACCGGAUAUGACACAGAGCCGCAUGGUUUCUGUGUGGAAAGUUUUCGGUUGGGGAUGGACUCGCGGCCUAUCAGCUUGUUGGUGAGGUAAUGGCUCACCAAGGCGACGACGGGUAGCCGGCCUGAGAGGGCGACCGGCCACACUGGGACUGAGACACGGCCCAGACUCCUACGGGAGGCAGCAGUGGGGAAUAUUGCACAAUGGGCGAAAGCCUGAUGCAGCGACGCCGCGUGAGGGAUGAAGGCCUUCGGGUUGUAAACCUCUUUCAGUAGGGAAGAAGCGCAAGUGACGGUACCUACAGAAGAAGCACCGGCUAACUACGUG
Molecule: ribosomal RNA, 469 nt
Filed under: uncultured bacterium
Lineage: Bacteria
Description: bacterial SSU rRNA
Rfam family: Bacterial small subunit ribosomal RNA
Source: RNAcentral